RNAcentral lists this long non-coding RNA (200 nucleotides) under Elaeis guineensis (African oil palm). RNAcentral's name for it is "long non-coding RNA (EGUI_LNC068790)". Lineage: Eukaryota; Viridiplantae; Streptophyta; Magnoliopsida; Arecales; Arecaceae. The record is from RNAcentral.
UAGUAAGAGGAGAUCGCAUCCUAUAUAUUCUCAAUCCUAGAUGAUUUGAAAAAAAUCUUUAGGCCAAAAGCAGAAAGAAGAUUAGAAAGAGUUUCUAAUACUUUUUUAUUGGAGUCAUCAUUGGUUAAUUGAGAAUCAAUAUGAAUAUGUAUUUGAGUUUGACAUGAUUUCAUACUCAUGAACAUAUUCAAGGUGCAGGG